Molecule: transfer RNA, 74 nt
Filed under: Ustilaginoidea virens
Lineage: Eukaryota; Fungi; Ascomycota; Sordariomycetes; Hypocreales; Clavicipitaceae
Description: tRNA-His (GTG) (tRNA-His-GTG-3-1)
Source: RNAcentral
GUAGAUAUAGCUCAAUUAGGUAGAGUAACUAUUUGUGGCAUAGUCGGUUCCUGGUUCGAUCCCAGGUAUUUACC